This 2904-nucleotide ribosomal RNA is filed under the name Escherichia coli. Its description in RNAcentral is "23S ribosomal RNA". It matches the Rfam family "Bacterial large subunit ribosomal RNA". The record is from RNAcentral. Lineage: Bacteria; Pseudomonadati; Pseudomonadota; Gammaproteobacteria; Enterobacterales; Enterobacteriaceae.
GGUUAAGCGACUAAGCGUACACGGUGGAUGCCCUGGCAGUCAGAGGCGAUGAAGGACGUGCUAAUCUGCGAUAAGCGUCGGUAAGGUGAUAUGAACCGUUAUAACCGGCGAUUUCCGAAUGGGGAAACCCAGUGUGAUUCGUCACACUAUCAUUAACUGAAUCCAUAGGUUAAUGAGGCGAACCGGGGGAACUGAAACAUCUAAGUACCCCGAGGAAAAGAAAUCAACCGAGAUUCCCCCAGUAGCGGCGAGCGAACGGGGAGCAGCCCAGAGCCUGAAUCAGUGUGUGUGUUAGUGGAAGCGUCUGGAAAGGCGCGCGAUACAGGGUGACAGCCCCGUACACAAAAAUGCACAUACUGUGAGCUCGAUGAGUAGGGCGGGACACGUGGUAUCCUGUCUGAAUAUGGGGGGACCAUCCUCCAAGGCUAAAUACUCCUGACUGACCGAUAGUGAACCAGUACCGUGAGGGAAAGGCGAAAAGAACCCCGGCGAGGGGAGUGAAAAAGAACCUGAAACCGUGUACGUACAAGCAGUGGGAGCACGCUUAGGCGUGUGACUGCGUACCUUUUGUAUAAUGGGUCAGCGACUUAUAUUCUGUAGCAAGGUUAACCGAAUAGGGGAGCCGAAGGGAAACCGAGUCUUAACUGGGCGUUAAGUUGCAGGGUAUAGACCCGAAACCCGGUGAUCUAGCCAUGGGCAGGUUGAAGGUUGGGUAACACUAACUGGAGGACCGAACCGACUAAUGUUGAAAAAUUAGCGGAUGACUUGUGGCUGGGGGUGAAAGGCCAAUCAAACCGGGAGAUAGCUGGUUCUCCCCGAAAGCUAUUUAGGUAGCGCCUCGUGAAUUCAUCUCCGGGGGUAGAGCACUGUUUCGGCAAGGGGGUCAUCCCGACUUACCAACCCGAUGCAAACUGCGAAUACCGGAGAAUGUUAUCACGGGAGACACACGGCGGGUGCUAACGUCCGUCGUGAAGAGGGAAACAACCCAGACCGCCAGCUAAGGUCCCAAAGUCAUGGUUAAGUGGGAAACGAUGUGGGAAGGCCCAGACAGCCAGGAUGUUGGCUUAGAAGCAGCCAUCAUUUAAAGAAAGCGUAAUAGCUCACUGGUCGAGUCGGCCUGCGCGGAAGAUGUAACGGGGCUAAACCAUGCACCGAAGCUGCGGCAGCGACGCUGAUGCGUUGUUGGGUAGGGGAGCGUUCUGUAAGCCUGCGAAGGUGUGCUGUGAGGCAUGCUGGAGGUAUCAGAAGUGCGAAUGCUGACAUAAGUAACGAUAAAGCGGGUGAAAAGCCCGCUCGCCGGAAGACCAAGGGUUCCUGUCCAACGUUAAUCGGGGCAGGGUGAGUCGACCCCUAAGGCGAGGCCGAAAGGCGUAGUCGAUGGGAAACAGGUUAAUAUUCCUGUACUUGGUGUUACUGCGAAGGGGGGACGGAGAAGGCUAUGUUGGCCGGGCGACGGUUGUCCCGGUUUAAGCGUGUAGGCUGGUUUUCCAGGCAAAUCCGGAAAAUCAAGGCUGAGGCGUGAUGACGAGGCACUACGGUGCUGAAGCAACAAAUGCCCUGCUUCCAGGAAAAGCCUCUAAGCAUCAGGUAACAUCAAAUCGUACCCCAAACCGACACAGGUGGUCAGGUAGAGAAUACCAAGGCGCUUGAGAGAACUCGGGUGAAGGAACUAGGCAAAAUGGUGCCGUAACUUCGGGAGAAGGCACGCUGAUAUGUAGGUGAAGUCCCUCGCGGAUGGAGCUGAAAUCAGUCGAAGAUACCAGCUGGCUGCAACUGUUUAUUAAAAACACAGCACUGUGCAAACACGAAAGUGGACGUAUACGGUGUGACGCCUGCCCGGUGCCGGAAGGUUAAUUGAUGGGGUCAGCGCAAGCGAAGCUCUUGAUCGAAGCCCCGGUAAACGGCGGCCGUAACUAUAACGGUCCUAAGGUAGCGAAAUUCCUUGUCGGGUAAGUUCCGACCUGCACGAAUGGCGUAAUGAUGGCCAGGCUGUCUCCACCCGAGACUCAGUGAAAUUGAACUCGCUGUGAAGAUGCAGUGUACCCGCGGCAAGACGGAAAGACCCCGUGAACCUUUACUAUAGCUUGACACUGAACAUUGAGCCUUGAUGUGUAGGAUAGGUGGGAGGCUUAGAAGUGUGGACGCCAGUCUGCAUGGAGCCGACCUUGAAAUACCACCCUUUAAUGUUUGAUGUUCUAACGUUGACCCGUGAUCCGGGUUGCGGACAGUGUCUGGUGGGUAGUUUGACUGGGGCGGUCUCCUCCUAAAGAGUAACGGAGGAGCACGAAGGUUGGCUAAUCCUGGUCGGACAUCAGGAGGUUAGUGCAAUGGCAUAAGCCAGCUUGACUGCGAGCGUGACGGCGCGAGCAGGUGCGAAAGCAGGUCAUAGUGAUCCGGUGGUUCUGAAUGGAAGGGCCAUCGCUCAACGGAUAAAAGGUACUCCGGGGAUAACAGGCUGAUACCGCCCAAGAGUUCAUAUCGACGGCGGUGUUUGGCACCUCGAUGUCGGCUCAUCACAUCCUGGGGCUGAAGUAGGUCCCAAGGGUAUGGCUGUUCGCCAUUUAAAGUGGUACGCGAGCUGGGUUUAGAACGUCGUGAGACAGUUCGGUCCCUAUCUGCCGUGGGCGCUGGAGAACUGAGGGGGGCUGCUCCUAGUACGAGAGGACCGGAGUGGACGCAUCACUGGUGUUCGGGUUGUCAUGCCAAUGGCACUGCCCGGUAGCUAAAUGCGGAAGAGAUAAGUGCUGAAAGCAUCUAAGCACGAAACUUGCCCCGAGAUGAGUUCUCCCUGACUCCUUGAGAGUCCUGAAGGAACGUUGAAGACGACGACGUUGAUAGGCCGGGUGUGUAAGCGCAGCGAUGCGUUGAGCUAACCGGUACUAAUGAACCGUGAGGCUUAACCUU